GGCCAGGCCUCUCAGAGAGUAUAACCCUUCACUGCUACAAUAUGUACUCUGGCUUCCAGGAAGAAAAUUUCCUGUGUCAAAAUUUAAACAUUACACAAGAUUCGGUUUGGUUCAAGUACCUUCGGGCUGCAGAUGGCAAGGGACGUGCUUUCUCUUUGAGCCCUGUACCUGCAAUUAGGCCAAUAAUGGCAAUUAAGGAAAACGUAAAGAGAUUGAAACUUCAGUUCUUAAUAUCAUAACCACGCAAUCCUGCCCAUGAAAUGACAGAAAGUCCUCUUCAGGGAGCAUCACCAACCUCUCUUAAAAGCCCGUGAACUUCAGAGAGAGAGAUUAGAAAGCUACAAAGGUACCCGCCUCAGGACCAAGUCAGAUUCUGGUUUAAACCUCAGGCUACGACAAGCUUUUGACAGGAAUCUCACAAACUGCAAAUAAAGGUUAGCAUUCCAGGGGAGAAUUGAAAGAAGAAUUCAAAUGAAUGUGUUUUUAAGAUAUUUUUCCCCAAAAAACUAUAUAAAAGCCCUCUUUAUCUUCUUCCAGGGGGGUUGGAUUCUGUUUGGCAUUGCAAAAUGUUCAGUAUGGUUUGCGAUAAGAAACUAAACAAGGCUGGGGAUAAGGUCCUGGAAUUUUAUUAAGUUGCAAGUGUAGCCAGAGCUGCACUCCAAGAGGAUGGCCCCAUGGAGUGGUUGAUUUUUUUUGAAAACCCUGUGUGCUGCCCACAUAUGUAAUUCACUACUAGAAUUAUUUCUCUGCUUAGAAUAGUUUAUUGGCUUAACUUUUUAAAAGCAAUUUCAAUCUGCGUGCAGUGCUUGACACAUCAUAGAUGCUCAAUAAUUUGAAAGCAAAGAAGUAAGAAAAGAGGACAGACGACAAGAAGGCAUAAGACAAAUCAGGACUUUAUGUUUCAAAUGCAAGUGUAACCUCAGGAUUGCUACCCCGCAGAGAAUGCACACCUAGUGUAGUGGCUAACUGCAUAAAUGCUGAUUCUUGGCUUUUCUGAGUUCAAACACUGGCUCCGUUUCUUACGAGCUUUGUGAUCUUGUCUUUCUUGACUUAUCUAUGUCUUGGAUUUCUCAUCUAUAAAACAGAGAUAAUAAGCAUUCCUUUUGUGAGUAUUAAAUAAUGUAUAGAACAGUGUCUGGCACUAUAUGUCUGCUGUUUUUUUUUUUAUUUUGGGAGACAGAACUGAAACUCAGUAUUUUUUUUUUCGAACAGAGCCCCAUUAGCAGGCUUGAUACCGUUUUCCUCCUCUUCAGCUCCAUUUGGUAUGUCAGGUUUUAUUCUGGAUACCUCUUGAGCUGAGAGAAUCACCUCAUCCUGGGAAUCUGGUAGUGCUUCCACACCCAUACAGCUAGCACCAGGCUAAAUCUUAAUUCAGAGCUACAGGCUCCUUCAAACAGAUGAGUGAGGAAGCAUUUGCUAAAUUCUGGUGUACCUGUGUGUUUGUGUGUGUGUGAUAAUAAAAGCAGAAUUUCAAAACUCUACAGUGUGACCGAACUGGGGCCUUUGUCCUGCUUACUCAGAUAAACUCCAGAAGCAUAUGGAGUGGCUUUUGGAAGAACACAUGUCUCAAUUCUAUUUUGGUUUCCGCUUAAUAAAGACAGCUUGGUCUAGUGGCUUAAUUAUCAAACCCUCUAGUCCAUUCUGCCAUUGCCUCCUGUUGUCAGCCCCUUUUUGGAAUCUAUGUUCUCCACUCACCAUAUUCUCUAUAACCUAAUAAGUAAUCCAGGCUCCCUACUGUGACAUUGAAGGUCUCCAAAAUAUUGCCCCCCAAUUCUGGUAGCCUUGUAUCUCCAUACAGCUACUUUCUAUCACAAAACAAUGUGGCUGCUUUCAUAGCUCUAUACCUUUACUCAUCCUGUUUACUUGGCAGCCUCCUCUUCCACUCAUUUAAAAUAAAAAGGUGAAAAUAGCUGCUGAAAUGCUGUUUGUUGUUUCAGGCCUGUCUGUCCCUAGUCCAAUAGUUCUCAAAGUAUUGCCCCUGAGCUAGGAACAUCAACAUCAUCUAGGAACUAGUGAGGAAUGCAAAUGUUCAAGCCAUAUCCAAACUGAGUAACACUUUGGAGGUGGAGUGCUGCAACAUGCACUCUCCAGGUGAUUCCAAUGCAUACCAACAUUUGACCACCACUGCCUCAGCCCAUCAUUUAACAUGUAUUGCUCUCCUCCGUGGUUGCAAAAUAUUUCGUUCUUUUAUUUGUCAUGGCCCUUCUACCUUAGUGAUUAUUAUAAACAUCUCUC
Molecule: long non-coding RNA, 2235 nt
Organism: Macaca mulatta (Rhesus monkey)
Lineage: Eukaryota; Metazoa; Chordata; Mammalia; Primates; Cercopithecidae
Source: Ensembl